GGUAUCAAUUCUAGAGACCCGUUCCCGGAUACGACUGUCACUUUAAUAGUAUCUGGCGACGGCGUGUUACCGUAAUCACAAAUACUGCGAAAACUACGUGAAACGGUGGCGCCAUCAUUAUGCGCCGGCCAAAAACUUCAAUGCGGAGGCAAGGCCAAGCCAACUACGGGGCAUUGCGCAUUGGGCGCGUUAGAUUCGUGCUCCGGGAACAUUUUCUCUUUCACGGGAUCACUUAACACCUCCAAAGUGACUUCCGGUGCACGUUCCCGGGUGCACCCUGCGCACCUCUUCUUCGGAGCCGGGGAGCCGGAGAACGCUGGGGAAUAGCGAGGCCAGUUCCGGAGCGUGACGCAUGUUCCGGUGUACUGCCUUUCGAAAUGGCACAACCCUUGGAACACGUUGCAACCGUCCGGAAGCGGAACAUCGUGCGCGGACGAUCGUUGACGAAGGAGGACGAAGCGGUCGUUGUAAAUCUCGUGAAUGCACGUAUAGUCAGUGUUUUGAUGCCAGAGCUGACUGAUGGGUGCACAUGGUUUCUUCAGAGGUUCUUCCUUUGAAAAAAUAAACGUGUUUUGAUGCCAGAGCUGACUGAUGGGUGCACAUGGUUCCAUCGUAAGUUCUUCCUUUGGAAAAAUAAACGUGUUUUGAUGCCAGAGCUGACUGAUGGGUGCACAUGGUUUCUUCGUAGGUUCUUCCUUUGAAAAAAUAAACGUGUUUUGAUGCCAGAGCUGACUGAUGGGUGCACAUGGUUCCUUCGUAUGUGCUUCAUUUGAAAAAAUAAACGUGUUUUGAUGCCAGAGCUGACUGAUGGGUGCACAUGGUUCCUCCGUAGGUUCUUCCUUUGAAAAAAUAAACGUGUUUUGAUGCCAGAGCUGACUGAUGGGUGCACAUGGUUCCUUCGUAGGUUCUUCCUUUGAAAAAAUAAACGUGUUUUGAUGCCAGAGCUGACUGAUGGGUGUACAUUGUUCCUGCGUAUGUUCUUCCUUUGAAAAAAUAAACGUGUUUUGAUGCCAGAGCUGACUGAUGGGUGCACAUGGUUCCUUCGUAGGUUCUUCCUUUGAAAAAAUAAACGUGUUUUGAUGCCAGAGCUGACUGAUGGGUGCACAUGGUUCCUUCAUAGGUUCUUCCUUUGAAAAAAUAAACGUGUUUUGAUGCCAGAGCUGACUGAUGGGUGCACACGGUUCCUUCGUAAGUGCUUCAUUUGAAAAAAUAAACGUGUUUUGAUGCCAGAGCUGACUGAUGGGUGCACAUGGUUCCAUCGUAAGUUCUUCCUUUGAAAAAAUAAACGUGUUUUGAUGCCAGAGCUGACUGAUGGGUGCACAUGGUUCCUUCGUAUGUGCUUCAUUUGAAAAAAUAAACGAGCUGACUGAUGGGUGCACAUGGUUCCUUCGUAGGUUCUUCCUUUGAAAAAAUAAACGAGCUGACUGAUGGGUGCACAUUGUUCCUUCGUAUGUUCUUCCUUUGUAAAAAUAAACGUGUUUUGAUGCCAGAGCUGACUGAUGGGUGCACACGGUUCCUUCGUAUGUGCUUCAUUUGAAAAAAUAAACGUGUUUUGAUGCCAGAGCUGACUGAUGGGUGCACAUUGUUCCUGCGUAUGUUCUUCCUUUGAAAAAAAUAAACGGGUUUUCAUGCCAGAGGUGGCUGGCGCAUUUUCAUCACUAUGUACAUAGAAAAUAAAUCCCAAUGUGACAAACAGCACAA
This is a long non-coding RNA of Ornithodoros turicata, 1701 nucleotides long. RefSeq lists it as uncharacterized. Lineage: Eukaryota; Metazoa; Arthropoda; Arachnida; Ixodida; Argasidae. The record is from RefSeq and is a predicted model, not a curated record. The transcript is spliced from 18 exons.